This 77-nucleotide transfer RNA is filed under the name Tissierellia bacterium KA00581. RNAcentral's name for it is "tRNA-Met". It matches the Rfam family "tRNA". From Rfam's summary of the family: Transfer RNA (tRNA) molecules are approximately 80 nucleotides in length. Their secondary structure includes four short double-helical elements and three loops (D, anti-codon, and T loops). Further hydrogen bonds mediate the characteristic L-shaped molecular structure. tRNAs have two regions of fundamental functional importance: the anti-codon, which is responsible for specific mRNA codon recognition, and the 3' end, to which the tRNAs corresponding amino acid is attached (by aminoacyl-tRNA synthetases). tRNAs cope with the degeneracy of the genetic code in two manners: having more than one tRNA (with a specific anti-codon) for a particular amino acid; and 'wobble' base-pairing, i.e. permitting non-standard base-pairing at the 3rd anti-codon position. Lineage: Bacteria; Bacillati; Bacillota; Tissierellia. The record is from RNAcentral.
GGCGGAGUAGCUCAGUUGGCUAGAGCAUGCGGUUCAUACCCGCAGUGUCGGCGGUUCGACUCCGUCCUCCGCUACCA